GCACUGCCCGGUAGCUAAAUGCGGAAGAGAUAAGUGCUGAAAGCAUCUAAGCACGAAACUUGCCCCGAGAUGAGUUCUCCCUGAGACUUAAAGUCUCCUGAAGGAACGUUGAAGACGACGACGUUGAUAGGCCGGGUGUGUAAGCGCAGCGAUGCGUUGAGCUAACCGGUACUAAUGAACCGUGAGGCUUAACCUUACAACGCCGAAG
RNAcentral lists this ribosomal RNA (208 nucleotides) under Salmonella enterica subsp. enterica serovar Heidelberg. Its description in RNAcentral is "partial 23S ribosomal RNA". It matches the Rfam family "Bacterial large subunit ribosomal RNA", at positions 2735 to 2925 of the family's 2925-position model. The record is from RNAcentral. Lineage: Bacteria; Pseudomonadati; Pseudomonadota; Gammaproteobacteria; Enterobacterales; Enterobacteriaceae. RNAcentral also lists the same sequence under 1 other name.